Molecule: ribosomal RNA, 422 nt
Filed under: Salmonella enterica subsp. enterica serovar Muenster
Lineage: Bacteria; Pseudomonadati; Pseudomonadota; Gammaproteobacteria; Enterobacterales; Enterobacteriaceae
Also listed under: 1 other name
Description: partial 23S ribosomal RNA
Rfam family: Bacterial large subunit ribosomal RNA
Source: RNAcentral
GACUCGUCACACUAUCAUUAACUGAAUCCAUAGGUUAAUGAGGCGAACCGGGGGAACUGAAACAUCUAAGUACCCCGAGGAAAAGAAAUCAACCGAGAUUCCCCCAGUAGCGGCGAGCGAACGGGGAGGAGCCCAGAGCCUGAAUCAGCAUGUGUGUUAGUGGAAGCGUCUGGAAAGGCGCGCGAUACAGGGUGACAGCCCCGUACACAAAAGCGCAUGUGCUGUGAGCUCGAUGAGUAGGGCGGGACACGUGGUAUCCUGUCUGAAUAUGGGGGGACCAUCCUCCAAGGCUAAAUACUCCUGACUGACCGAUAGUGAACCAGUACCGUGAGGGAAAGGCGAAAAGAACCCCGGCGAGGGGAGUGAAAAAGAACCUGAAACCGUGUACGUACAAGCAGUGGGAGCACCCUUUGGGGUGUGAC